GAGGAGAGGCGCCGUCUGCUGGGGUGGGGGUGCGGGGCAGCACAGCCCACCCCCCCCACCCCCCAGGCAAGGCUUCUAAGCGGCCCCCCAUGCCGUACCUGGCGGGUGUGUAGUCUCCCUUCCCGGCACAUCCACAGCCUCAUCUGCACCACGAGAGAUGCCAGAUAAAGUGACCAAUCCCAGCCUGGCCCCAAGCUCCCCAGCUGCGUAGAAGGUGCCAGGUGAAACCCCAAGGCUGUCGAAUAUUAAACAAAUAACCGAGGGAAUAUUAUAUUUAUUGGAAGCAAAACUGCGAAGAUAACUUAGAUGUCAAGUUUUAACCCCCGAUAUGUCAGUAUCCUCGGCUUACCCUCAGUUAUCUCUGUCCUGAUCACAAGACUGGACCACCGUUUUGACAGGAUAUUGGGGGACAGGGGUGUCGUUUGUUUUGGCGGAGGAAAUAUUUCAAAUGAGGAAGCUCAACCGGCUAUGGGUGGGAAGGGGGGCGGUCUUUGCUCAGUAAAACGUUUGGAACGCAUGUUUCCAGCAUUUCAGAAUUCCUCAUGACGUUUGUAUCCUUCCCUCAGCAAGACUGUGGAUGGUCUUUGCUGACGUUUCCAACCCUAAGCCUGCAGAGUGGCCAAGCUUCAGGUUUGGAAAGUGCUAAGCCCGCUCACGGGAAGCUCCGAGGUACCUUCGGCCCCCCGCCCCGCACUCACUCAGGUAGUAAUUCUGUGUGUAACGGAACCAGAACGCUCCCUUUCCAUCUCUGUUAAUUUCCAAAUUGGCUCGUUAAAUCCAUACAUUCCAGAGACUUGAUCCAACAUUCCAGGGACCCUUUCCAUGGACAAGCAGAGCAGGAGUUCUUUUCAGCAGGGUUGGUUCAAGCAGAGGGAAUGUGGAAAACAAAACAAAACAAAAAUAACAACCAAACAUCAACCAAAAAACCUCCAGAACAAAUUACCUUCAUCUUGCAAAGGGGACCUCAGAUGGCAGCCUCACCAGCCCCACCAGCCCCGCCAGCCUCAUCAGCCUCGCCAGCCUUAUGUUACUCUGGCCGUGUCUCUCCCUGACUCCCCUGUCCCUUUCAUCCCACACAGUGUAUCGCCAUUAGCCUGGCUUUGGGCCCGGCCCCAGUUUGCUUCCAGUUUGUUGGACUCCUACUGGAGACGAGACACUGUUAACUAGCAGCCCUGCCAGGAAGCCAGUGCAGCCACCUCCAGGGUGUUCUUCUCCGUGUUGUUGCCGUGACACAGACGUGGAAGUGUGUUUGAAGUGUCAGAGCGCUCUUGCCAGGGGAGGUGUCGGCUUUGCUGCUGGAUGGGUACACAGUGUACCACACGUGUGAGCAGGGCACGGGGGGGGGGGGAUUUUAGCUGGAAUUAACAACCGCGUAAGAACUGAAAACAAAUAAAUAAAUAAGCUAAGUGUUCAAAGGCUGUUUAUCAGCUCAGUGUGUCGCCACGGCUAAAUGCCAACUUUUUGUUUCUCCGUGUACCUUUUCCAUUCCUCUGACCUUCAGAAUUCUUCCCACAUUCAGGAAUAAUUGACGCUGCUCUCACGGCUCUUCGUGACCUUGGUUAAAGGAACAGUCUGCUCUUUUUCUCUGAAAUGCUUUGGUGGGGCGAUACCUUUUCCUUUCCCCAAAGGGCAGCUCAAGGCGGUGGGGCGUCAGGAAGGAUGAGUUCCGGUCCCCAACCUUCCGGUCUCUUGUUUACCACCUGUCACCUGGGGCAGAGGCAGUAAAGGCCAUCCAGGCCUCAUCCACAUGCCGCCUGUGGUCGGUGUCCCCAGCAGGUCUUGAACACUCAGUGAAUGCAUAUUGCCAGGCACCUGUCUGUGCGGUGGACCCUGCUCUCAGGAGCCUGUUAAUCCCUGUGUGCAGAGGGUCAUUCAGGUAAAUGCAAACAGGGCUUGUGGUCCGUCUCUGCUCACUGCCCUGGGAUGGACACAGCCGGUACCCAGCAAUGGCAGGUGUAUUAGUAUUUAUUCAAUGGAUGAAUGAAUGGAUGCUGAGUUACAGAAAUGCAGUUUCAUCUCAGAGGUAAAGCAGCAGCCAGGCUUCCCCAGUUUCACAGCCCAGUAGGCCCACCUGCGUGGUAUCUGUGUGGCAGAAGCAGACUCCCACUUCUCCGUGUGUGGGGCCGUGGCCGGGAGCUCUUGGGCAACAAUCAGACUGCAUUGGUGUGUGGGGUGGCCCUGCUGGGUGGGAUGGGGUAUGAGGAGAAACAGAGGGGAGCAGGCUUUUGGUUGAAGCUGGAGGGCUUAGGUUGCUGACCUAAUGUCACCUCUUCAUCUCAUCUAGAAAGUGGAGGAAGACUCAUACCUACUUCAAAGGGUCGCUCUGAGGCCUAAAUGAAUCUGUAUGUGUAAAGUGUUGAGAACUGGGCCUGGCCUAGAGUAAGUUCUAAUUAAAUAUCAGCCCUUUAUCAUGUUGUUGUUAUUAUUUUGGGGAGCAGAGGAGGUGUCAGGACCUGAGUGUUGAAGGAAAUGAUAGGACAGCUCAGUUUCUAGAGAGGAGGGUGGGCCUCUCAGUAGCCCUCGGGUCUUAUCUGGUAGGUGGGUUUCCACGGUGGUAGAGGCAGGAGGUUAUAAGUGGAAUCGGAUGGCCCGCAGCCACCUCCUGCUUCUGGUUCUAGGCACCAAAUACCUACCCUCCCAACACACACACACACACACACACACACACACACACACACACACACACACUGAAUGGAUGGGAGUUUAGCAAAUAGCAUCUAGGAGACAGGCAAGAUCAGAUAGGACGGUCCAGAGCCAGUGAGGUAGGCCAGGGUUUAGGAAUUUGUCUGAAUGCCUAUUAGGGAAAUUGAGGCAGAAGCCUAGUAGGUCCCAUUUGCCCCAAGCUCUUGGCAGGCGCACCUGAAAUCAGAUCCCGGGCGGCCAGACCAUAAGCCCUGGCUCUUGGCAUUGCUGAUCAUUGGACUCCUGGCCUGGUGGGGUUUGGUCUGAGGGCCAUGGAAGCAGUCAGCAGUGACUCACAUCCUGCAGAGGAGGGAGGUGAGGAGGGUUCUGGAGACCUCAGAGGCUUGGGAGGUGGGUGGGAGAGGCUUGAUGGAGGCCUUGAGUUGAGAUGGGGGCUGGGAGGAUGGCCAGGACUUGGGGGAUCCGACUGAGGUGGUCCAGGCCGAAUGGGAGAACGGAGUGAGGUUGCAGGUGGGCUUGUGCGUGAUGUGAUCCGGGCACCUGAGUACUCUUGUGGGCCUGGAACAGAGGGAAGGCCGUGCUGGAGGGGAGAAGCCUGGCGUGAGACUCAGGAGACGGGGCCAGGGCCAGGGAGCCUUGGCACCGAGCUGGUGAUGAAGAGCGCUGGCCCUUUCGGGAGCACUGUCGCAGCAAACCUGAUGCGGCUGGAGGCGUCUGUGCGUGUCCCUACUGUAGACAAGUGCAUCAUAACGAGAGGCUCUGGAGGCGCUGUGGAAGAAGCAGGCGAUGAAGGGAGGUGAUUUCUUAACAACCAUUGUGAUCAAGAGCCUGGACGGUGCAGAAUCCUGGGUGGAGGGGUGGGAGCGGCGGGGAAAGGAGGAAUAUGCCGUGGAGCAAACAGCCCUGGGCCAGUGGCUGGUGAGAUACAGAAGACGCGUGUCUGGGGGUGCGGCCCCAUUUGGGGGGGCAGCUGCCGGCUGAAAUGAACUCCAUUUCCACCUCUCAGGGGUCUAGGUGACCGCGACAGGCCCCAGGGGACAGGCAGGGGCCUGGGCUGGAGAGGAGGCUCCAGGAGGCCUUGGGCAGAGCCGAAGGCACAGGUGGGGAAGCGUUGGAGCACAGAGAGAGAGAGGCUAGUGACAGAGCGGGGACAACAGCCAUCCCCGGGGCCAAGAGGAGAAGAAGCAGCUUCAGAGGGUGAGGUCAAGGUGGCCUGAGAUGUCCCCCAGAGGCAAACAAGAGAGUGUAGCCUCCCCCUGCAGAGGGGGGCGUCUGCAGCCCAGCCGGGGCCGGCCCUCUGCUGCCACCUUGUCUCGCAACACACUCAUGUGUGCGCUCGCACCCUGCAGCUCCACCCCGGGACCUUCCUCCGGAAAAGCCUUGGCAGCUCCCUGCCCCAUGCACCCAUUUCCAUUACUCCCUCCUCUGCACCCCUACAACCCCCCCACCCCACACGUACCAGAGCAUCGAGCAAUAACCUGUUUUCUGGUGGGUCUCCCCACGGGAAGUGAGCUUCGCAGGCCUGCUUCUCAGGGAGGCGCACAGGACGUGAGCCCCCUGAGGAGGGUUCCCGAGAGGGACUUGGGGUCAACAGCCCUUCAUUCGAGGCUGCAGCCUGUGUGGAUGGUGGCAGGAGAGCAGGGUGAUGGCGGGCACCCCCCCCCAAGGAUUCCGGCUGCGGGAACCACCCUACGUCUCCGAGUUGUCAUCCCUCCUGUCCACCUGUCCCCCGGGCUGCAGCCUUCGCCCCACUUUCCUUCUCACCUGGUUGCUGCACCGGUUGAAGCCGUGACCUGAAUCUCCCCAUCAUUAGGUCCACGUGGACAGCAGCUCCUCGGGAAAUGCUGCUUUGAGCAGGUGGUAGCUAUCCGCAAAGUGAGGACUGGUGAAAACAGAGAGCUGACGGCUGCGCAGAGCUCCUUCCAGGGGAACUCCUAUCGUCCCAGCCUCCGACGUCCUCUGAGCACCUGAAGGGAGCCUGUGCCCUCUGGAGAGAGCCCGGGAGACAGAGGUGUAGUCUCUCCAGCCGCCAACCCCAGGCUGCGUAAGGGGAGAAGAAACUCAGUUUUCUAAGUGUCUUCUUUAGCCACGCGUAAAGCUUGGCACUUUCACCAACAGGAUUUUCUUUCAUUAAUCCACGGAGCAGCCUUGGGAUACUGAUUCGCAUGCUGAUUCAUCAGCUUCAUUUACUCUGAUACUGCCGGGCAGCCUCCCGAGGGCAAGUCGCUAGCUCACGCUGGGAGGUUAUGGGUUUGCCUGACUCUGUGUUUCUCGUUUGUCACCGAGACUGGCUCUCUGCUCUGCGCAGAGCAGCGGUAGAAACUGGCCAUCCCACCGCCCCAGAGGCCCCUGGCACUAGAGGAGGUUUUCUUUUGUCUGAAGAGGCAAGAGCCAGCCUUCGGGAAGGGACAGGGCAGGGGCCCUGUGUCCUGUUGAGACCCAGGAUUCUGAGAGCAAAGGGUCCUGCGACUUGAGUGCCCGGUAUGUGGGGCCAAACUCUGUCUUGGAGGCCUGGAAACAUUUGACAUGAUGUCAUGAAAAGCUAUGAAAGCGUCUCUCCAAAACUCCGAGGAGGAAUUAGGCUUUUGCACGUACGUAUGUAUUCAAUUUUCAGCUGUCCUGAUUUCUCUCAAAGAGCCGCUGGUUCUUCCCUGGAGUGGGGCCAGGCCCCUCUGUGCCUCCACUGCCCGGGGACGGGUCCUGCGUGCCCGGCUCCUCUUGUGCCAUGUGUUUUCUGGCUGUUCGGGCCGUCCUCUCUGGCAUUUUUCAAUCCCACGUGGUCAGGCGCUAAGAACCUUAGAACAAAGCAAUCGCUGCUCUGACCUUGAGAGACGGCAGGGCCUUGCUGAUCUGCCUGCGGGUUGAGCUGGGACCUAGGGUAGGGCGUGAGGGCCGGGAAGAGUCCCUUUGCUGUCAUAGCGGAAGGGGAGGACACCCAGGCCUCCCCCUGGGAGGCAGAAAGGAAGAGGAGAAGGCCCAGGAGACGAGGGCGGGACCUGCCCUUGGGGAGGUCACGGUGUCCCCUGGCAGGAGACAGGCUGUGUGGGAGAACCGCUGGAGGAAUGUGAGUUGGGUCAUUCUCUUACCCUUAGGGGCUCAGCAAACCCUGAGUGAGCGGAGACGGCUGGGAUUGCAGGGCCCCCAGGUGCCUCUGCCCCCUGCCCCUUGCCUCCAGCCCCCGAGGGCUCACCGUGUGGUGGGAGGAACAGGCAUGUACACACAGGCACGGCCAGUGUGGGUGACGGAUGUGGAGAUAGAGCAGGUGCCCAGGCUCCUUGGGCAUCAAGAAGGAGACCCAGAGGAGGAAGGUGACUUAAAGAGAAGAGGAGGACGUGUCCUAGGUUCAAGGAACAAGAGCCAAUGGGCCGGACCGGAGGCCUGAAGCUGCCUGAUGUUCUCUGGUGUGGGGUGAGUGUAGGCGUGGCUGCCCUCUGCAUGUCCCCUAUGGGUCGCCAGGUGUCUUUGCCUGGCUCUCAGCAGGGCCCAGCUUUAGGACGGGCAGCAGAGGCCAUGAGGAGGGCUAGCUUCCUGGAGGCAGGAGUGAGCUGGGAGGCUUCGUGGAGGAAGACUUCCCCGGGGCCUCAGUGAGAGCCAGGGUUUGGACAAGCAGGAAGGAAAGCAGGGCCAGCCCCAGAGAGGCGCAGAGAACCUGGGCCAGAUGGGAACACAGUGUCGGGCGGGAGGUGCCCAGACUGAGGGGGGCCAGUGGUGGCAUGUGGCACAAUGGCGGUAUCCUCAGAUGAGGCGUUAACUCCCUUCCCCGAGGGGCUGUGAGUACUGAGGAGGGCCCCUGCGGUUAAGAGGAGGCUCCUGCCCUGGGAGGGGCCACUCCUCAGUCAGGUCACCAAGGGCCAUGAGUAUCUGAGUCAGGGUGACCGCUCCACACUGCAGUUUGACCAUCUGGAAAACAAGGAUGCGGCAAGGCGGCGGUGGGGGGGGGGGGGAACCUCUGGCAUCCCAUGAUGACCUUGCCUCGUGACCUUGAGCAAGGCACGUGGCUUCUGGGACUCAGCUCCCUGGUUCGCCACAUUGGGAGAGUGGAGCACCAUUGCCGUGUCACCUCGCUGAGCCUCUAGGAGGACCAUGCAGAUGGCACUGGUGAAAUCGCUCCAAGCAAAGCUGCCCCCACGGAGGGUCAGGAGACCCUGAGACCCGUCUGACUCAGCCCCAGCGGGACCGCUCUCAGCUUUCCUGCAGCCAGGCCCCGCCUCCCGGCUGAUGUGCCUCCCCCCCCCCCACUCUGAGCCUCUGAUCCCCGGGGUCCGAGGACAGCCUAGGCCGCCAGCUGCACCGCCACUGCCCGGAGCAGACCGGUCCCCACGCCUGGCAGUGGGAACGCGGGCGGGCCCACCUGGCACAGGAGCUGCGCUGCCUGGGAGGACGGCGGCCUGUCUGCUCUGGGCCCAGGGUCCUGGCUCUGGCGCUCUGAGCUCACCGAGGUUUAUUUAUUUAUCAUUUGUUUGGGGUGAAAUGGGAGAGAGUCAAAUCCACGGAGCUGUUGUAGCAGCAGUUGGUGGAAAGAAAGGCAUGUCUGUUUUUCCCGAAAGAAUCCCUCGCAUUGUGGCCCUGGCCCUUGGUUGGGUUUCGGCAGACAAUGCCUUCCUUUCUCCCUGUGCCCGCCGGCUCGCCCCCGCCCGCCCGCCAGCCCGUCUGUCCUUGGUCCACUGGGCCUGCCGCUGCCCGCUGGACUUGGCUGCCGGGAAGGAAGGAAGGAGACGCCGGCUGCCUUGGCUGAGCCGUCCGGCCAGUGCACUGGGCCCUGCAGGCCUCUGGGGCUGCCACGCUCCUGCGCCCCCGUCUCUUUGGAGGCCUCGUGCAUAGUAUAUGUUGAGGGCAUGCUCUGUGCCAGGCAUUGUGCCCACUUCACGGAAGCCUUCCUCCCUCCUGGAACGGGAAUCAGGUCUUAGGGAAGGAGCCUCGUCUUAUUUUCUUUUUGCACCCCCUUGGGCUGUCGUGUGUCGCAGAGGAAUCCAGUUAGCAACACUGAUAACUCAGAUGGAAGAGAUGACAACGAGGAAUGAAAGGGACAUUAUAAAACUCUGAGAGGACGGAGGAGGGAACACGUCCCAACUUUCUUCCUAACCUUCCAGCCUCCUUGAGGCCAGCGUUAUGCUGAUACCAACACCAGACAAAGACAUACGAGGAAAGAAACCUAUAGAGCAAUCCCUCUUGCGUCGUGAAUGCAGAUGGAUGCAGAAAUUCUCAGUAUAACACCAGCUGACCAGAUCCAGCAUAGAUAAGAAGGAUAAUGUCUCACGAUGAAGUGGGUGUUAUCCUGGGAUUACAAGGCUGGUUUGAUAUUCAGAAGUCAAUGUAAUUUACCACCUCAGCAGACUAAAGAAGAAACCCUGGUAUGAUCGAUCAUCUCAAUAGAUUCAGAAAAAGCCCUUGUCAAAAUCAACACUGUUCACGGUUAAAAACUCUCAGCAAACUGGGAUAGAAGGGAAUUUUCUUGAUCUGAUAAAGGGUGUCUAUUGAAAACACCUACAACUAAUAUCAAACAUAAUGAUAAAAUUUGCAUACUUUUCCCUAAGAUCAGGAACUAGGCGAAUCACAUAUCUGAUAAAGGACUUGCUUCCAGAACCUAUAAAGAACUCUCAAAACUCCAUAGCAAGAAAACACAUGCCGAGUUCCUGUUGUGACUCAGCAGGUCAAGGACCCAACAUUGUCUCUGUGAGGAUGCGAGUUCGCGUCCCCGGCCUUGCUCAGUGGGUUAAGGAUCUGGCGUUGCCACAAGCUGUGUAGGUCACAGAUGCAGCUCAGAUCCCGUGUUACUGUGGCUGUGGCGCAGGCCUGAAGCUGUAGCUCUGAUUCAGCUCCUCGCCUAGCAACCUCCAUAUGCUGCAGGUGGGGCCAUAAAAAGAAAAAAACCACAUGCAAUUUAAUAAUGAGCAGAAUAUUUGAAUACCUACAAGACAUAUAGGUGGCAAAUAAGCACAUGAAAAUACUUAAUAGCUUCAGUCCUUAGAAAAAUGCUGAUUACAACUACAUGCUGAUUAGAACGACUCCGAUUAAACUGGAAAAUAGCCAGGGUUGGCGAGUUCAUGGAGCAACUGCAGCUCUCUUACUUUGCUGCUGGGAAUGCUAAGUGGUCCAACCACCCUGUGAAACAGUUUAUUAUUAAGUCGAACAAACCCUUGCCACACCUGGAAAUCCCACUAUUAGAAAUUUACCCAAAUGAAAUCAAAACCUGUGGUCACAUAGGAAUUGCACCGGUGUUUGUAGUGGCUUUAUCUAUAAUAACCCCAAGGGGGAAACAAGCCAAAUGUCCCCAAACUGGGGAAUUGACGCACAGACUCUGGUGCAUCCAUACGCCGGGAUACUGCUCAGCCAUGCAAAGGAGAGACCUCCUGAGGCCGACACCUCAGAUGAGCUGGACCGCAUUAUGGGGAGUGAGAGACGUCAGACUCAAAAGGCUGCACGGAGGCUGCACGUACAUGACAUCCUGGAAAAGGACAAACCAGGGGGACAGAAAGCAGCAGCAGCUGUCAGGAGGUGGGGGCGGGGUGGGUUUACUACAAAAGACACAGGAGGAUUCUUUGGGGGUGCUAGAACUAUUUUUUUUAAUCUCAACUUGGGGGGUUAUGUGAAUGCUAUGUGUUUGUCAAAACACUUACACAAAUGUAAGUUUGUACACUUAAAAGAGUGCAUCUUGCAUUGUAUGUAAACUGCGUCUUAAUCAUCAC
Molecule: long non-coding RNA, 9329 nt
Organism: Sus scrofa (pig)
Lineage: Eukaryota; Metazoa; Chordata; Mammalia; Artiodactyla; Suidae
Source: RefSeq, a predicted model, not a curated record